This 489-nucleotide ribosomal RNA is filed under the name uncultured bacterium. Its description in RNAcentral is "partial 16S ribosomal RNA". It matches the Rfam family "Bacterial small subunit ribosomal RNA", at positions 30 to 507 of the family's 1533-position model. The record is from RNAcentral.
UUGAACGCUGGCGGCAGGCCUAACCCAUGCAAGUCGAACGGUAACAGGAAGAAGCUUGCUUCUUUGCUGACGAGUGGCGGACGGGUGAGUAAUGUCUGGGAAACUGCCUGAUGGAGGGGGAUAACUACUGGAAACGGUAGCUAAUACCGCAUAACGUCGCAAGACCAAAGAGGGGGACCUUCGGGCCUCUUGCCAUCGGAUGUGCCCAGAUGGGAUUAGCUAGUAGGUGGGGUAACGGCUCACCUAGGCGACGAUCCCUAGCUGGUCUGAGAGGAUGACCAGCCACACUGGAACUGAGACACGGUCCAGACUCCUACGGGAGGCAGCAGUGGGGAAUAUUGCACAAAGGGCGCAAGCCUGAUGCAGCCAUGCCGCGUGUAUGAAGAAGGCCUUCGGGUUGUAAAGUACUUUCAGCGGGGAGGAAGGGAGUAAAGUUAAUACCUUUGCUCAUUGACGUUACCCGCAGAAGAAGCACCGGCUAACUCCGUG